UGGGGAAUAUUGCACAAUGGGCGCAAGCCUGAUGCAGCCAUGCCGCGUGUGUGGAGAAGGCCUUCGGGUUGUAAAGCACUUUCAGCGGGGAGGAAGGCGGUGAGGUUAAUAACCUCACCGAUUGACGUUACCCGCAGAAGAAGCACCGGCUAACUCCGUGCCAGCAGCCGCGGUAAUACGGAGGGUGCAAGCGUUAAUCGGAAUUACUGGGCGUAAAGCGCACGCAGGCGGUCUGUCAAGUCGGAUGUGAAAUCCCCGGGCUCAACCUGGGAACUGCAUUCGAAACUGGCAGGCUAGAGUCUUGUAGAGGGGGGUAGAAUUCCAGGUGUAGCGGUGAAAUGCGUAGAGAUCUGGAGGAAUACCGGUGGCGAAGGCGGCCCCCUGGACAAAGACUGACGCUCAGGUGCGAAAGCGUGGGGAGCAAACAGG
Molecule: ribosomal RNA, 429 nt
Filed under: Chloroflexota bacterium
Lineage: Bacteria; Bacillati; Chloroflexota
Description: Chloroflexi bacterium partial 16S ribosomal RNA
Rfam family: Bacterial small subunit ribosomal RNA
Source: RNAcentral